This is a long non-coding RNA of Empidonax traillii (willow flycatcher), 362 nucleotides long. RefSeq lists it as uncharacterized. Lineage: Eukaryota; Metazoa; Chordata; Aves; Passeriformes; Tyrannidae. The transcript has 3 exons. The record is from RefSeq and is a predicted model, not a curated record.
GAAACCCUUCUCCUGCAGAAAUUAAUGAGAACGUGCAUGAAACUGAACAGAAACAGAGCUGACCAAUAAUAAAUUCUUAUGAAAAUUCCACUUGGCAGUUCGAUGAUCAGUACCCAUCAAAAGGAUUCUCUGUGUAAAGCUCUUUAUCACAAUCUGAGUACACUCUAGAUGGACUCAUUAUGAAUCAAGUUCCCUCAGAACAAAGAGGAAGUGCUCUGCUACAUUGAUAUUGUACAUCAUGGAGCCUGGAUAAAGUCAAGAGCUGAUGUAACCUUGACUUUUGACAUUCCAAGAGACUACUGUCUAGAUAAUGCAAGGUGUGUAAGCCACUGUCUUUGAUAAGUAAUAAAACAAAUAAUAAA